GGGUUGUGAGGUUAAGCGACUAAGCGUACACGGUGGAUGCCCUGGCAGUCAGAGGCGAUGAAGGACGUGCUAAUCUGCGAUAAGCGUCGGUAAGGUGAUAUGAACCGUUAUAACCGGCGAUUUCCGAAUGGGGAAACCCAGUGUGUUUCGACACACUAUCAUUAACUGAAUCCAUAGGUUAAUGAGGCGAACCGGGGGAACUGAAACAUCUAAGUACCCCGAGGAAAAGAAAUCAACCGAGAUUCCCCCAGUAGCGGCGAGCGAACGGGGAGCAGCCCAGAGCCUGAAUCAGUGUGUGUGUUAGUGGAAGCGUCUGGAAAGGCGCGCGAUACAGGGUGACAGCCCCGUACACAAAAAUGCACAUGCUGUGAGCUCGAUGAGUAGGGCGGGACACGUGGUAUCCUGUCUGAAUAUGGGGGGACCAUCCUCCAAGGCUAAAUACUCCUGACUGACCGAUAGUGAACCAGUACCGUGAGGGAAAGGCGAAAAGAACCCCGGCGAGGGGAGUGAAAAAGAACCUGAAACCGUGUACGUACAAGCAGUGGGAGCACGCUUAGGCGUGUGACUGCGUACCUUUUGUAUAAUGGGUCAGCGACUUAUAUUCUGUAGCAAGGUUAACCGAAUAGGGGAGCCGAAGGGAAACCGAGUCUUAACUGGGCGUUAAGUUGCAGGGUAUAGACCCGAAACCCGGUGAUCUAGCCAUGGGCAGGUUGAAGGUUGGGUAACACUAACUGGAGGACCGAACCGACUAAUGUUGAAAAAUUAGCGGAUGACUUGUGGCUGGGGGUGAAAGGCCAAUCAAACCGGGAGAUAGCUGGUUCUCCCCGAAAGCUAUUUAGGUAGCGCCUCGUGAAUUCAUCUCCGGGGGUAGAGCACUGUUUCGGCAAGGGGGUCAUCCCGACUUACCAACCCGAUGCAAACUGCGAAUACCGGAGAAUGUUAUCACGGGAGACACACGGCGGGUGCUAACGUCCGUCGUGAAGAGGGAAACAACCCAGACCGCCAGCUAAGGUCCCAAAGUCAUGGUUAAGUGGGAAACGAUGUGGGAAGGCCCAGACAGCCAGGAUGUUGGCUUAGAAGCAGCCAUCAUUUAAAGAAAGCGUAAUAGCUCACUGGUCGAGUCGGCCUGCGCGGAAGAUGUAACGGGGCUAAACCAUGCACCGAAGCUGCGGCAGCGACGCUUAUGCGUUGUUGGGUAGGGGAGCGUUCUGUAAGCCUGUGAAGGUGUACUGUGAGGUAUGCUGGAGGUAUCAGAAGUGCGAAUGCUGACAUAAGUAACGAUAAAGCGGGUGAAAAGCCCGCUCGCCGGAAGACCAAGGGUUCCUGUCCAACGUUAAUCGGGGCAGGGUGAGUCGACCCCUAAGGCGAGGCCGAAAGGCGUAGUCGAUGGGAAACAGGUUAAUAUUCCUGUACUUGGUGUUACUGCGAAGGGGGGACGGAGAAGGCUAUGUUGGCCGGGCGACGGUUGUCCCGGUUUAAGCGUGUAGGCUGGUUUUCCAGGCAAAUCCGGAAAAUCAAGGCUGAGGCGUGAUGACGAGGCACUACGGUGCUGAAGCAACAAAUGCCCUGCUUCCAGGAAAAGCCUCUAAGCAUCAGGUAACAUCAAAUCGUACCCCAAACCGACACAGGUGGUCAGGUAGAGAAUACCAAGGCGCUUGAGAGAACUCGGGUGAAGGAACUAGGCAAAAUGGUGCCGUAACUUCGGGAGAAGGCACGCUGAUAUGUAGGUGAAGUCCCUCGCGGAUGGAGCUGAAAUCAGUCGAAGAUACCAGCUGGCUGCAACUGUUUAUUAAAAACACAGCACUGUGCAAACACGAAAGUGGACGUAUACGGUGUGACGCCUGCCCGGUGCCGGAAGGUUAAUUGAUGGGGUUAGCGCAAGCGAAGCUCUUGAUCGAAGCCCCGGUAAACGGCGGCCGUAACUAUAACGGUCCUAAGGUAGCGAAAUUCCUUGUCGGGUAAGUUCCGACCUGCACGAAUGGCGUAAUGAUGGCCAGGCUGUCUCCACCCGAGACUCAGUGAAAUUGAACUCGCUGUGAAGAUGCAGUGUACCCGCGGCAAGACGGAAAGACCCCGUGAACCUUUACUAUAGCUUGACACUGAACAUUGAGCCUUGAUGUGUAGGAUAGGUGGGAGGCUU
RNAcentral lists this ribosomal RNA (2140 nucleotides) under Escherichia coli. RNAcentral's name for it is "partial 23S ribosomal RNA". It matches the Rfam family "Bacterial large subunit ribosomal RNA", at positions 1 to 2157 of the family's 2925-position model. Lineage: Bacteria; Pseudomonadati; Pseudomonadota; Gammaproteobacteria; Enterobacterales; Enterobacteriaceae. The record is from RNAcentral.